Molecule: long non-coding RNA, 1947 nt
Organism: Mustela erminea (ermine)
Lineage: Eukaryota; Metazoa; Chordata; Mammalia; Carnivora; Mustelidae
Exons: 3
Source: RefSeq, a predicted model, not a curated record
UCAAUCUCGCUGUUCAUCGGUCUCUGAGCAUUCUUCGUGCCCUAAGAUUCUAGGGAGGAAAUGGAAAAGUCCCAGUUGCUCCAAUUCAGACUUUGGGACUGGAGCUGAAGCCCCGCCCAUCCUGCCCACCCAGACAGCCAGCAGUGGAAGAGAAGGGAGAAGGGGAGAGAGGCUACCGACUUGGAAAGGCUUCUUCCUUCUUUAGGCUUUUGAUUCGGGGGAGGAAUGAAUGAAUUUUCCUCCUCCUCUUUUAUUUGGUAUAGCGCUAGGUUCCUCCAAACAAUAUGAGAAAUCAAGGAGUUGGGCUGGGGAGCUACAACAGAAAAUAUGAUGCAGGACCAUUGGAAGCCACCAGGAAGUGAGCUUUGGAGGAAUUCUGUUAGCGCAGCAGUGCAGCUUCUCUCUUUCCCCUCAUUCCUACUGAAGACUCAGAGCUCUACUGUCCGGUUCUUCCAGGAGUGUCCAUUCUGGAGGGCCAUGACCAGGAUAAUUUGAAUGGGGGACUUUCUGCUCAUAACUGUGUAGUUACCCGGAGUCCAAGCACCAAGGACAUCAGGACACAAAAGAAUAUUCUAGGGUAGCAAGGUUUCACGAGAUUUCUUUAAUAUGCAGUUGUGGGACUUCUCUCCAGGAGAAGACAGGACCAUCAAAGAGCCAAAUUGGAAAAUAUUUUAGAGGGAAAUCAGGAAAACAAAAUAAAAUGAAGCCCACAGCUCUCAUGGGCAUUAAUAAGCCAGCAGACUGCUCACCUCUCUCUUCUCAGCCCACUACAAUGAGCUCCCUUUUUUCCUCCAAGGUGUUUGAGCUUCUACUGUGUGCCUGGAAUUAUACUGCUGAGAGCCGUGAAUUUUAAGGUGAAAAAGACCCAGGUUAUUUAGAGAGUAGUCCAGGGAGACCGGAAGCCCCACUAGAAGCUGGGAGCCCUAGCAAGACACAGAGACAACAGGCCUGUAGGAGAAUAAACCUGGGCCCAUGCUUUUGUUCAUUCAGCAAGACUUUACUGAACACCUACUCUAUGCAAAGCCUCUGGUUCAGUUCUGUGGUGAAGACAAAAAGAGGUAAGACACAGACACUGCAAGUUUCUCAGCAUCCCUCCCAAACACCUUCUUUUUGCAAGGUAAGCUUGCUGCUGCCUGAACCCCCACACACUGUGUAUCAUAUCCAUUUUGUGUGCAACUUAAUCCCAUUUUUCUCAAAAUUCCUUUCUUUUGUUUCAAAACACGACUACUCGGAUAAGUUUAGUAGUACUCAUUCCUCCUCUUCCUUAAAGGAUAUUUUCAUUGUCAAUGGACAUCUCCCCUGGCACUAAUCCUUAACAGAACCUGUAACAAAAUGAAGACCAAAACUACAGCCUUGUAAGUCGGCACAACUCCCUGAUCUAGGGGGAUGCAUUUCCUUCAUUUCCAAGAAUGUUCAAAGUGCUAAAAGUUAAUUUAAAAGAAAAAAAAAUAGCUGGUUGAACAUUCUCACUCUAAUUCCACUUGUAGGAAAUAAAGAAGGAUAGAAAUUAGCACCUAUCUCAGUGGAGUGUCCUGAGAAAUCACUGUGCGAAGAUACAGAGUGUGAUCUCAGUCAGAAGCUUCUACAAUGAGAUGUUGGAACCAAAUAUAGCCCCAUAAGCAGACUUGGCUUUAAGUGGAAACAAUUGAUCUUACAAUUAAAUUUCUAGGGCUUUUAGAUAAUAGAAAAUCCAAAAUAAUCUUUAUUCAUAUCUUCCACCAAUCUCUUUAGGUUUCAGAAAUCACGGCACUUGACUAUUAUACGGUCUUUUCUAAAGGUACUUGUACAAAACAGUUCCAUUUUCAACCAUUAGGAAAACCUUUUAAUAUAAAAUAGCUUAAGGGAAAUUUUUAAAAAAUUGGGAGCUCAGGUAGCACUGGAAAUGGGACUACAAGCUGAACAAAAUGGAUGGGAAACAAGGAACAACAAUGGAAAGCUGAAUGCAGA